CAUUGAUGUUGCAAAUGCUUUGGAGUACCUUCAUUUCUAUUGUGAUCCUCCACUGUACCAUGGAGACAUAAAGCCUAGCAAUGUCCUCUUGGACAAGAAUUACCUCGCGAAGCUUGCUGGGUGUGGCCAUG
This is a long non-coding RNA of Lolium rigidum, 131 nucleotides long. RefSeq lists it as uncharacterized. The record is from RefSeq and is a predicted model, not a curated record. NCBI's taxonomy places the organism in Eukaryota, Viridiplantae, Streptophyta, Magnoliopsida, Poales, Poaceae. The transcript is spliced from 3 exons.